RNAcentral lists this non-coding RNA (133 nucleotides) under Clunio marinus. RNAcentral's name for it is "Eukaryotic large subunit ribosomal RNA". It matches the Rfam family "Eukaryotic large subunit ribosomal RNA", at positions 2981 to 3111 of the family's 3401-position model. Lineage: Eukaryota; Metazoa; Arthropoda; Insecta; Diptera; Chironomidae. The record is from Rfam by way of RNAcentral.
GGUUAGUUUUACCCUACUGGUGGCAUUUACACUGUUGGUAUGGCAUUCCUCUGCAGUACGAGAGGAACCACAGGUACGAACCAAUGGCCCAAUACUUGUCCGAGCGGACAUUGGUAUGAAGCUACGUUCGUCG